This 440-nucleotide ribosomal RNA is filed under the name uncultured bacterium. Its description in RNAcentral is "bacterial SSU rRNA". It matches the Rfam family "Bacterial small subunit ribosomal RNA", at positions 30 to 472 of the family's 1533-position model. The record is from RNAcentral.
AUUGAACGCUGGCGGAAUGCUUUACACAUGCAAGUCGAACGGCAGCACGGGGCAACCUGGUGGCGAGUGGCGAACGGGUGAGUAAUACAUCGGAACGUGCCCAAUCGUGGGGGAUAACGUAGCGAAAGUUACGCUAAUACCGCAUACGAUCUACGGAUGAAAGCGGGGGAUCGCAAGACCUCGCGCGAAUGGAGCGGCCGAUGUCAGAUUAGGUAGUUGGUGGGGUAAAGGCUCACCAAGCCGACGAUCUGUAGCUGGUCUGAGAGGACGACCAGCCACACUGGGACUGAGACACGGCCCAGACUCCUACGGGAGGCAGCAGUGGGGAAUUUUGGACAAUGGGCGCAAGCCUGAUCCAGCCAUUCCGCGUGCAGGAUGAAGGCCUUCGGUUGUAACUGCUUUGUACGGAACGAACGGUUCUCUCUAAUACAGGGGCGUAA